UACAGAGGUCCCGAGCGUUGUUCGGAUUCACUGGGCGUAAAGGGUGCGUAGGUGGUGAGGUAAGCCGGAUGUGAAAGCUCGGAGCUCAACUCCGAAAUGGCAUUGGAAACUACCUUGCUCGAGGGUUGGAGGGGGGACUGGAAUGCUUGGUGUAGCAGUGAAAUGCGUAGAUAUCAAGCGGAACACCAGUGGCGAAGGCGAGUCCCUGGACAACUCCUGACACUGAGGCACGAAAGCUAGGGGAGCAAACAGG
This 253-nucleotide ribosomal RNA is filed under the name uncultured bacterium. Its description in RNAcentral is "partial 16S ribosomal RNA". It matches the Rfam family "Bacterial small subunit ribosomal RNA", at positions 524 to 776 of the family's 1533-position model. The record is from RNAcentral.